Molecule: ribosomal RNA, 448 nt
Filed under: uncultured bacterium
Lineage: Bacteria
Description: partial 16S ribosomal RNA
Rfam family: Bacterial small subunit ribosomal RNA
Source: RNAcentral
CGCCAGACUCCUACGGGAGGCAGCAGUGGGGAAUAUUGCACAAUGGGGGGAACCCUGAUGCAGCGACGCCGCGUGGGCGAGGAAGUCUUUCGGUAUGUAAAGCCCUAUCGGCAGGGAAGAAGAAAUGACGGUACCUGACUAAGAAGCCCCGGCUAACUACGUGCCAGCAGCCGCGGUAAUACGUAGGUGGCAAGCGUUGUCCGGAUUUACUGGGUGUAAAGGGCGUGCAGCCGGGCUGACAAGUCAGAUGUGAAAUCCCGCGGCUCAACCGCGGAACUGCAUUUGAAACUGUCAGUCUUGAGUACCGGAGAGGUCAUCGGAAUUCCUUGUGUAGCGGUGAAAUGCGUAGAUAUAAGGAAGAACACCAGUGGCGAAGGCGGAUGACUGGACGGCAACUGACGGUGAGGCGCGAAAGCGUGGGGAGCAAACAGGAUUAGAUACCCCGGUA